This 723-nucleotide long non-coding RNA is filed under the name Mus pahari (shrew mouse). Its description in RNAcentral is "RIKEN cDNA 1700084C06 gene (MGP_PahariEiJ_G0002259.1)". Lineage: Eukaryota; Metazoa; Chordata; Mammalia; Rodentia; Muridae. The record is from RNAcentral.
AUACCUGGUUGGUCACGUCCCCCGGGAGGCCUCGGAUCAGUAUCUUGCGGCGGUUACGGAACUGGCGCUCGGUGUGUUCCAAGCGUUUCCGGAUCUCUUCCGGAUCGAGCGGCGGCAACUCUUGUUCGGGCGCCCGGCGAUCGACGGUCUCGGGAGUUUCCGCUUCGGCCUCCGCCUCCGGGCUCAGCGGCGGCCGGCUGAUCUUCAAUACCUACAUUCAAGCAAUCCAGCUGCCUCAGCGUUCCAAGCAACUGGAAGUACAGAUCAACAGUACCAGCAGACUGAACAUCCUGUCCUGCUUCUGGAAGGUCAGCGGGGCUCCCAUGGUCCUCUGUCUACCUCAGGCUGGCCUUACCGGCUUCCUGACUGCUGAAGCAGGAGUCACUGACUCUCUCCUUCAAUAACCUUCCGACAAUCUGAAGGCUACGCUGAGGCGCAGUCAGGAGCACUCAGCUGCUAUCACAGCGCGUCAGAGGGAGGCGGGAGGGUCAGGAAAUCAAGGGCAUCCUCAGACAUGUAAGGUACUGAAGGACAGCUAGGGCUACACAAGAUCCUGUCUCGGGAGACCGCUCAAGGGUAAAAGGCGCUUCCUGCCAAGCCUUGCCACCUGAGCAUUAUCCCUGGCACCCACAUGAUGGAAGGAUAGAACUGACCAAAAAAGCUGUCCUCUGAGCUACACAAGUGCCACGUGCAUCCCUACCAAAAAUAAAGUAAGAUCAAGCC